GUGCUUACUUCAGCAUCACAUAUAAAUAAAAAUUGAAAUAAGACAGAGAAGAUUAGCAUGGCCUCUGUGCAAAGAUGACACACAAGUUCAUAAAGUGUUCAUAUUAAAA
Molecule: small nuclear RNA, 109 nt
Organism: Cercocebus atys (sooty mangabey)
Lineage: Eukaryota; Metazoa; Chordata; Mammalia; Primates; Cercopithecidae
Source: Ensembl